CAUUUCAAUUAAAGAUUGCAUAAGGAAGUAUCAAAAACAUAAUCUACUUGUUACUACAAGCAUUCACAUUCACUAGAUACAUUUUACAUCACAAUUACAUAUUACAUUUAACUUCCAAAUACAAUCAUGCUGUUAUUACAAAUUAUUGCAAUCUUAUUUCUUUCAUGUUCUUACAUCCCUAAGUAACCGACUCAGGGUACCGUUAUCUCUGGUCUCGGUGGUAGGGCGCUAACUACGGAGCUACGCCCUCGCCUCGCACCGCCGCGCCGCUCACGUGUGAACCUGUAACACCCCAAAACA
This 300-nucleotide long non-coding RNA is filed under the name Ananas comosus (pineapple). RNAcentral describes it as "long non-coding RNA (ACOM_LNC005654)". The record is from RNAcentral. Lineage: Eukaryota; Viridiplantae; Streptophyta; Magnoliopsida; Poales; Bromeliaceae.